This 253-nucleotide ribosomal RNA is filed under the name uncultured bacterium. Its description in RNAcentral is "partial 16S ribosomal RNA". It matches the Rfam family "Bacterial small subunit ribosomal RNA", at positions 524 to 776 of the family's 1533-position model. The record is from RNAcentral.
UACGGGGGGGGCAAGCGUUGUUCGGAAUUACUGGGCGUAAAGGGCUCGUAGGCGGCCAACUAAGUCAGACGUGAAAUCCCUUGGCUUAACCGGGGAACUGCGUCUGAUACUGGAUGGCUUGAGGUUGGGAGAGGGAUGCGGAAUUCCAGGUGUAGCGGUGAAAUGCGUAGAUAUCUGGAGGAACACCGGUGGCGAAGGCGGCAUCCUGGACCAAUUCUGACGCUGAGGAGCGAAAGCCAGGGGAGCAAACGGG